UGGGCUUUACCACACGGGCUCCUGGGAGACACCGGUGCGAUUGUGAUCGGCCCCAGUCUCCAGAUGAGAAAGCUGGGCUCAGAAGGAGGAAAUCACCUGCCAAACACGACAUGAGGGCCGACCAACAGGGAAAUUCAGACCCACGGAGAGGAUGUCACUUGCCCAAGUUCGCCCAGCUGGUAAGGGACGGCACAGGGUUUUGAAUCCAGGCUCCUGAGUCUGUGCUCUUCAUCACGCUCUGCAUUGCUCAAGAGUGGCUCCGUCCCCAUGAGACUCCGUGACACCGGGCGGGUAACACGCUUGGUGUGGCCUGUGGUACAGUGUAAAUGCGCCGAGUCGGCAGCAGUUGUGAACGUCCCCGGAGGCGCACCAUCCUGAGAGGCCUGGCUCCUCAUCAUCUUCUUUCACUCCUUGGCUACAGAGAUGACCCGUCCUCUGGGCCUCCAUCCCAAAACACCUUGAAGGGAAGCGUUUCGGAUUCCUGCUCCUCUGUCGGGGCCUUGGGGGCCAGGGUGGAGGUCUGACCCAGCUGGCAGCCCCAGU
Cervus elaphus (red deer) is the source of this 543-nucleotide long non-coding RNA. RefSeq lists it as uncharacterized. The transcript has 3 exons. NCBI's taxonomy places the organism in Eukaryota, Metazoa, Chordata, Mammalia, Artiodactyla, Cervidae. The record is from RefSeq and is a predicted model, not a curated record.